AGAGUCUGAUGGAGCAUGCCGCGUGAGUGAAGAAGGUUUUCGGAUCGUAAAACUCUGUUGUUGAAGAAGAACAUAUGUGAGAGUAACUGUUCACGUACUGACGGUAUUCAACCAGAAAGCCACGGCUAACUACGUGCCAGCAGCCGCGGUAAUACGUAGGUGGCAAGCGUUGUCCGGAUUUAUUGGGCGUAAAGAGAAUGUAGGCGGUUUAUUAAGUUUGAAGUGAAAGCCCUCGGCUCAACCGAGGAAGUGCUUCGAAAACUGGUAAACUUGAGUGCAGAAGAGGAAAGUGGAACUCCAUGUGUAGCGGUGGAAUGCGUAGAUAUAUGGAAGAACACCAGUGGCGAAGGCGGCUUUCUGGUCUGUAACUGACGCUGAGAUUCGAAAGCAUGGGUAGCAAACAGGAUUAGAUACCCUGGUAGUCCAUGCCGUAAACGAUGAGUGCUAAGUGUUGGAGGGUUUCCGCCCUUCAGUGCUGCAGCUAACGCAUUAAGCACUCCGCCUGGGGAGUACGAUCGCAAGAUUGAAACUCAAAGGAAUUGACGGGGGCCCGCACAAGCGGUGGAGCAUGUGGUUUAAUUCGAAGCAACGCGAAGAACCUUACCAGGUCUUGACAUACCAUGAAAAGCUUAGAGAUAAGUCUUUCCCUUCGGGGACAUGGAUACAGGUGGUGCAUGGUUGUCGUCAGCUCGUGUCGUGAGAUGUUGGGUUAAGUCCCGCAACGAGCGCAACCCUUAUUAUCAGUUGCCAGCAUUCAGUUGGGCACUCUGGUGAGACUGCCGGUGAUAAACCGGAGGAAGGUGGGGACGACGUCAAAUCAUCAUGCCCCUUAUGACCUGGGCUACACACGUGCUACAAUGGUCGGUACAACGUGCUGCGAACUCGCGAGGGUAAGCAAAUCACUUAAAACCGAUCUCAGUUCGGAUUGUAGGCUGCAACUCGCCUACAUGAAGCUGGAAUCGCUAGUAAUCGCGGAUCAGCAUGCCGCG
This 989-nucleotide ribosomal RNA is filed under the name Companilactobacillus paralimentarius. RNAcentral describes it as "bacterial SSU rRNA". It matches the Rfam family "Bacterial small subunit ribosomal RNA", at positions 378 to 1361 of the family's 1533-position model. Lineage: Bacteria; Bacillati; Bacillota; Bacilli; Lactobacillales; Lactobacillaceae. The record is from RNAcentral.